This is a non-coding RNA of Salmo salar (Atlantic salmon), 54 nucleotides long. NCBI's taxonomy places the organism in Eukaryota, Metazoa, Chordata, Actinopteri, Salmoniformes, Salmonidae. The record is from Rfam.
AAUGCACCAAUUUGUAUGUUGCUCUGGAUAAGAGCGUCUGCUAAAUGACUUAAA